UUCUUUUUCUUUUUUUAUAAAUUCUUUAUUUUGAAUUUUUCAGUAAUAUGGGGGUUAGGGUACAGAAAAGAAAACUUGGAAGCAAGGAUAAUUUCAGAGACCAUGAGUUGCAUUAAUGUGUUACAAAACAGUCAUAAAGAAGAAGUAAUUACAUAGUUUUUGUUCCAUAACUGUUGCUGUCCUUCGAUGUUGCUGUAGGACUUUGGUCCCGAUUCCGAGAGAGGGUUCUAAAGCUUAUUUGUAGAGGGGUGUAACAUUGUGUUGCAGUAUAUGAUAUUUUAACAGCUAUAACAAGAACAUUUUCGGUUCGUAAGUUACAUAGUUGUGUGCGUAGUGUGCCGUUUGGUUCAGUGUUUGGUCGGUGUGUUUAUGAGGUUCCCUUCGGGGAGAGUUAGGGGUACCAUGAGGGAAGGGGGGGUGGGUCUGGUGGGGGUUCUAGUCCUAUUGCCUGUCGUCUCCUGGUGUCAUGUAUCUUGGCAUGAGCUCUAUUGGUUUGUGGGUCCUUGGUGGUUGGGCGGUGUUGGUCUGAGAUCGAUUGUGGAGUUUUUUGCUUUUUUUCCACACAAAAACAAAUAUGAACGCUAACUUUGGCCAGUGUUUGUGACUAAGUGGCUACUAAAAAAGACUAAGCAUACCCCACGUUCAAUACCUUGGGUUGUCUACUUUUUCAAAUGGUAUGCCAUUAUGGGGGUAAUUCUCAUUCCUGGGCUACCACACCGUCUCAAAGGUAACAUUACUAAUGUGGCAAAUUUCAAUUUGAAAAUGGAACAUUCUAUAUUUGACCCUGUAACUUUCCAAAACACCAUAAAACCUGUUAAUGGAGGGUACUGUUGUACUCGUGAGACAUCGCUGAUUACAAAUAUGUGCAUUUUUUUGCAGUAAUACCUAAAAACAGUAUUAUGACAUUUACAGCUAAAAUGUGAGGCGGAACUACAAAUUUAAAAAAAUAAAAAAAUAAACAUUUCUCACAGUUUAAAUUUUAUUCAUAAUAAAUUAUGUUUCACAUAUAAAUAUUUGAUAUGAAAUGAAAGCCCUGUUUCUCCUGAUCAAAAUGAUAUAUAAUAAGUGUGGGUGCAUUUAAUAUGAAAGAGGUGAAUUACGGUUGAACAGACAUAUAGCGCAAAUUCCAGUUUUUGUUUUGAUCAGAACGUGUACUAUUGACUCCGUCCUGAAGGGGUUAAUAUUGUGUGCUGUUAUAAUUGCACCUUUAUCAAAAACAAAGAAAAAAAACGGUUUUGACCAACUCUUCAAGCUGCUUAGAACAAUUCUGGUUGACAAUUUAAUAUCACCCAGUGUGGCCUAAAUCCUUUACUUGUGGCAGAUGGAGAGAGAUUAAAAUAAAUAAAAAUUCAGUUAGGCAAUACAGCUACCUUGAGCAGUCCCAUCUGCCACUCUCUGCUAAACUGCUUAGCUUCAGCAUGUUCUGCAAGCUUGUGAGCUUUGCUGGAAGGUUAGCGACGCACUAUAUCUUUUCAAACAGCACCAGAGAUGCACUAAGUUUAACAAUAAGCUGGCUUAUGCAGUGCCUGCAGGGGUACUGUCUGAGCUCUCAGGCUGUCCCCCUAAAGCCUGCAAAAAAAAAAAAGUUUUAAAAUGUUGGUAAAAAAAAAGUGAUUAAAAUGUUUAAC
This 1628-nucleotide long non-coding RNA is filed under the name Pelobates cultripes (western spadefoot toad). Lineage: Eukaryota; Metazoa; Chordata; Amphibia; Anura; Pelobatidae. The record is from RNAcentral.